This 72-nucleotide transfer RNA is filed under the name Camelus bactrianus (Bactrian camel). It matches the Rfam family "tRNA". Rfam says of the family: Transfer RNA (tRNA) molecules are approximately 80 nucleotides in length. Their secondary structure includes four short double-helical elements and three loops (D, anti-codon, and T loops). The record is from Rfam by way of RNAcentral. RNAcentral also lists the same sequence under 1 other name. Lineage: Eukaryota; Metazoa; Chordata; Mammalia; Artiodactyla; Camelidae.
GCGGGUACAGCACAGUGGUAGAGUGCAUGCUUAGCAUACACAAGGUGCUGGGUUCAAUCCCCAGUACCCCCU